CUCCUCUUCCUCCUCUUCCUUUUCCUCCUCCUCUUCCGUUUCCUCCUCCUCCUCCUCUUCCUUUUCCUCCUCCUCUUCCUUCUCCUUCUCUCCCUCUUCUUCCUCUCCUUCCCUCCCCAUCUCCCUCUCCUCUUCCUCUUCCUUCUCCUCCUUCUCUCCCUGUUCCUCCUCUCCUUCCCUCCCCAUCUCCUCCCUCUCCUCCUCCCAGCCUCUUCCCUUCCUACAGACUCUCACUGUGUAUCCCAGGGUGACUGAAGUUGGAUGCUGAUUGUGUAUUGGGAACCAUCCCUCAGCCCCCCCCCCCACACCGAGCAUCCUCUUGUCUUUGCUGUCAUCUCUUCUCUGUGCCUCAUCUUAUUGCUGACUUGGAAAGAAAGCACAGCUCAUGGAUCCUGCUCAGUUGGCCAGAUACCAACACUGUGGUGACUGCUUGUUUUCCGUUUUCAGCCUUGAGUGCUUCUAUUAGUAAAGUCAGAGCGAGUGAUGAUGACCUACUACCUCUUCCAUUGUCAACAUGUCCUAGGAAUGUGUGUUCUGAUGUCGGGAAUGGAACUCAGCCCAUUCCAUUAGGAAAAACAGGAUAGAAUGAACUUAAACAUAGACCUUCCACAGUGGUCCAGCAAUCUCACUACUGGACCCAGAACUAAACUAAUUAUUCUGUCACAGAGCUGUCUUCCCUCUCUCAUCUAUCGUGUCGAUGUUUCUCUUGGUCCUUUACUCUGUGCUACUUCUGCAAGUAAGACUAGAAUGUCACUAGUAAGACUAGAGAAAUAAGGAGUGGACCAGUGGGGACUUCAACAGAGGAACACAUGUAAAGAAAAAGCGAUGGACCAGGCAACAGAGUACCAUCCGGCCUUGAAGAGGAGUGCAGGCCCUCAUUUGUAACAGCACAGGU
RNAcentral lists this long non-coding RNA (895 nucleotides) under Mus musculus (house mouse). RNAcentral describes it as "long non-coding RNA chr6:136980753-136981648". Lineage: Eukaryota; Metazoa; Chordata; Mammalia; Rodentia; Muridae. The record is from RNAcentral.